This 26-nucleotide non-coding RNA is filed under the name Rattus norvegicus (Norway rat). The record is from RNAcentral. Lineage: Eukaryota; Metazoa; Chordata; Mammalia; Rodentia; Muridae.
UGUAUAGUUGAAGUCCACAAAAUGGG